GACGAACGCUGGCGGCGUGCUUAACACAUGCAAGUCGAACGAAGAGCGAUGGAAGCUUGCUUCUAUCAAUCUUAGUGGCGAACGGGUGAGUAACGCGUAAUCAACCUGCCCUUCAGAGGGGGACAGCAGUUGGAAACGACUGCUAAUACCGCAUACGAUCUAAUCUCGGCAUCGAGGAUAGAUGAAAGGUGGCCUCUACAUGUAAGCUAUCACUGAAGGAGGGGAUUGCGUCUGAUUAGCUAGUUGGAGGGGUAACGGCCCACCAAGGCGAUGAUCAGUAGCCGGUCUGAGAGGAUGAACGGCCACAUUGGGACUGAGACACGGCCCAGACUCCUACGGGAGGCAGCAGUGGGGAAUCUUCCGCAAUGGACGAAAGUCUGACGGAGCAACGCCGCGUGAGUGAUGACGGCCUUCGGGUUGUAAAGCUCUGUUAAUCGGGACGAAAGGCCUUCUUGCGAAUAGUGAGAAGGAUUGACGGUACCGGAAUAGAAAGCCACGGCUAACUACGUG
RNAcentral lists this ribosomal RNA (510 nucleotides) under uncultured bacterium. RNAcentral's name for it is "partial 16S ribosomal RNA". It matches the Rfam family "Bacterial small subunit ribosomal RNA", at positions 28 to 507 of the family's 1533-position model. The record is from RNAcentral.